RNAcentral lists this ribosomal RNA (397 nucleotides) under uncultured bacterium. Its description in RNAcentral is "partial 16S ribosomal RNA". It matches the Rfam family "Bacterial small subunit ribosomal RNA", at positions 523 to 918 of the family's 1533-position model. The record is from RNAcentral.
AUACGUAGGGGGCGAGCGUUGUCCGGAAUGAUUGGGCGUAAAGGGCGCGUAGGCGGCGCGGUAAGUCUGGAGUGAAAGUCCUGCUUUCAAGGUGGGAAUUGCUUUGGAUACUGCCGCGCUUGAGUGCAGGUGAGGUUAACGGAAUUCCCGGUGUAGCGGUGAAAUGCGUAGCGAUCGGGAGGAACACCAGUGGCGAAGGCGGGUAACUGGACUGCAACUGACGCUGAGGCGCGAAAGUGUGGGGAGCAAACAGGAUUAGAUACCCUGGUAGUCCACACUGUAAACGAUGAAUGCUAGGUGUAAGAGGUAUCGACCCCUUUUGUGCCGGAGUCAACACAAUAAGCAUUCCGCCUGGGGAGUACGGCCGCAAGGUUGAAACUCAAAUGAAUUGACGGGG